RNAcentral lists this ribosomal RNA (292 nucleotides) under uncultured bacterium. RNAcentral describes it as "partial 16S ribosomal RNA". It matches the Rfam family "Bacterial small subunit ribosomal RNA", at positions 505 to 796 of the family's 1533-position model. The record is from RNAcentral.
GUGUCAGCCGCCGCGGUAAUACGGGGGGAACGAGCGUUGUUCGGAUUUACUGGGCGUAAAGGGCACGCAGGCGGGGAGACAAGUCAGAUGUGAAAACCCAUAGCUUAACUCUGGGCCUGCAUUUGAUACUGUUUCUCUUGAGUACGGGAGAGGAUGGCGGAAUUCUUGGUGUAGCGGUGAAAUGCGUAGAUAUCAAGAAGAACACCGGUGGCGAAGGCGGCCAUCUGGCCCGAUACUGACGCUCAUGUGCGAAGGCAAGGGGAGCAAACAGGAUUAGAAACCCGAGUAGUCC